GCGGCGCUAGUUUAUUUGCAAGAAACGAAGGUGGACAGAGCAUGUCGCGCCAGGUUUUUAAGUAAAUUUCAAGGAAACCACUUCAUUAAAAUGUCCUUGCAAGAUCGUAAUCCGUCACCACCUUUGGGAGAUGAGCUGAACAUCGACCCUGCGAUCCUGCAUGCGGACACCAUAGGGGACACAGUCUUCAGCAAGCGAUGGGUUUUUGCAACUCUCAUGAAACUUCUAAAGGAAGUAGAAAAGGAACCUGAGGGAAAGUCACCACAGGAGCUGGAUGCAGCAAAGGCUCAUGGGAUAGAUAUUGACGAGGGCCUGGAGACUGACUUGUGCAAGUUGUGGGACAUGACAGCCAAUCAGGAUGUUGCAAAAUUUCUCCACGAGUGGAAGUCAUUGGACAUCUUGACAAGUGUUAUUGAGCAGACCACAGCACCUCGGGCCACUGAGAUUUGCAUGGGUAUUCUGGCCAACAUGGCUUGCAGCGGAGACAUUGCGGAUUACAUCAGCCGUAGUGACAAGAUCAGGUCCUUGACGCUGGAAUUUCUUGGAAGCAGUGACACCCAGACCCUCAUUCAGACCACCAGGCUUCUCCUGACCUGUUUGUCCUGCAAGCUGGAGGACACUGUGGGAUUGUGGCUGCAAGAAAUCACAGAAGAGUUUUGCUCCAAGCUGUCCUUCGUCUUACAAAGCUCCACUAACAUCGAGCUCCUGUACAACGUGGGCUUCAUCAUAAGGACACUGUUCUCACUGGAUGAGACGCUGGUGCAGGAUUGGACAGACAGUGAGCAGAUUGUCAGCAUCAUCGAGGCCCUGAAGCAAGUCAAGUCUGAUGGGAAAUCAACAGCUGGCCAAUCACGAACCAUCUCCUUGCUUCUGAGCUGUUUAGAAAUCAUUGUUGCCGAUGAUGAUGGUAUGACCAAUCUUGUAUCAGCCAGUGACACUGUCCUGCCCCUGUUGACGGACUUCCUGUGGAGCUUCUGCGAGGAUGAAGUGGUGACCGUAGAGGGCAGCGAGGGUAGUCUGGCCUCCACCAUCUACAUUGUUGAGGUUGUCAUGGCAAAUAUGGAAGGCCUAAAUGACAUCGUGGACACCCUGAACAAGUAUCCCAAGCUUUUGAAAGGUGCUGUUGAAAUAUUUGCCUCCCUCUACUCACAGAAGGCAGCAACUAAAGAAAAUGCUCUUGCCGACCCAAAACAGGAUUUGCCAGGCAUAAGCAUGUCAGAGUCAAAUGAUCAAGAAACUCGCGACAAACAGUUGACAUCCUCAACAACUGGUGACUCUAGUAAUGGAGCGCAAACGAUCCCAGAGAGAGAGUCAGAUAGGGACAAAAAGGGUGAGUCGGACACAACAACAGGUGUUCAGCCGUCCAAGGCAAAUUCGGAGCAACUCGUAGACACUGAAGCUACUGCCACAUCGCCGGUAAGGCAGAGCUCCAAAUCCAACGAGGCACUGGUCGAGGGACAUGCUGACGCCAGUGACAACUCGAGUGGGGAUCACGACACAGUGGAUGAGAGUCAUGACAUUGAGCGGAAGGAGCUGUCUGACAAUCUAUUGUCCUUCUUUGUGUUCCUGUUGCGGGAGUCAGGGGGCGGUGCAUCCCAGUCGCAGGUCGCGAAGUUGCUGAGGGACGCCUGCGGCCACAAACACCGGUCGGUCGUGAGGCAAGGGAUGGCCCAGACCAAAGCGAAUCCUGAAAUACAACAACUUCUCGCAGCUACGCUUGGAGAAAACACAUGAAGCCGUAUAAUCUUGACGUCGAACGCCUUGCUUAUUUUAUUAACUUGUACAGUGCCACCUGUUAAUACAUUCAGAUUUCAAGAGGAGGACAUGCACUGUAUGCGCACACUUCUUCUGACAGUGCUUACAUUUACCAGGCGACAUCCUCGACAAAAGAAUAGUUCAACUUCACCCUGUUAUUCUUUCGCUUAUCAGUUGCUGUUCACUGCGGAAAAGACGUCACGUUUCCCUUACCCUACCGAGCGACUUAUUUGUGUGUUUUUUUCACAUUAGUCAUCAAUUCGUAAUUGGUCACCGUGUCUUACAUAAACGGGAGACACAAAAUUACUUUGCUUUUCUUACGCAUGUAGCCUGGUCGGUUAUAGGAAGUAAAAGGCACACAAAACAAGUUGGUAUCUACAAAAAAAGUACAUUUAUAUGAAACCAUUCAGAUGGUUUACUUUAACUACAAUAAAGUCCCUGGAUCAAAGAUACGAGUUUUUCAAAAAUAAAUUUACUUUUCAACCUAAAACAAUUGUUAAUGGGUCAUCUGUUACAAUUUCUACUGUGGUUACCACAGCGUGUUCUUAAACCUCCUUAUGAUGCAUGUAGUUAUUUACAAUAUCAUUUAUUUCAUGCGUGUUCCCAUGCACGUUAGUUUAACUUUCUGUUUCAACAUUACGCAUAAACAACCUUGAAUUCUCGUUGAAGUAUUAAACCUUUCCUUUUUUCGCAGCCA
This 2452-nucleotide unclassified non-coding RNA is filed under the name Acanthaster planci (crown-of-thorns starfish). RNAcentral's name for it is "protein saal1-like, transcript variant X1". The record is from RNAcentral. Lineage: Eukaryota; Metazoa; Echinodermata; Asteroidea; Valvatida; Acanthasteridae.